RNAcentral lists this ribosomal RNA (2064 nucleotides) under human gut metagenome. RNAcentral's name for it is "bacterial LSU rRNA". It matches the Rfam family "Bacterial large subunit ribosomal RNA", at positions 446 to 2527 of the family's 2925-position model. The record is from RNAcentral.
GGGAGGACCAUCUCCCAACCCUAAAUACUCUCUAGUGACCGAUAGUGAACCAGUACCGUGAGGGAAAGGUGAAAAGCACCCCGGGAGGGGAGUGAAAUAGAACCUGAAACCGUGUGCCUACAACAAGUUCGAGCCCGUUAAUGGGUGAGAGCGUGCCUUUUGUAGAAUGAACCGGCGAGUUACGAUAUGAUGCGAGGUUAAGUUGAAGAGACGGAGCCGUAGGGAAACCGAGUCUUAAUAGGGCGCAUUAGUAUCAUGUCGUAGACCCGAAACCAUGUGACCUACCCAUGAGCAGGUUGAAGGUGAGGUAAAACUCACUGGAGGACCGAACCAGGGCACGUUGAAAAGUGCUUGGAUGACUUGUGGGUAGCGGAGAAAUUCCAAACGAACUUGGAGAUAGCUGGUUCUCUCCGAAAUAGCUUUAGGGCUAGCGUCGAUGUUAAGUCUCUUGGAGGUAGAGCACUGUUUGGGUGAGGGGUCCAUCCCGGAUUACCAAUCUCAGAUAAACUCCGAAUGCCAACGAGAUAUAAUCGGCAGUCAGACUGCGAGUGCUAAGAUCCGUAGUCGAAAGGGAAACAGCCCAGACCACCAGCUAAGGUCCCAAAAUAUAUGUUAAGUGGAAAAGGAUGUGGGGUUGCACAGACAACUAGGAUGUUAGCUUAGAAGCAGCUAUUCAUUCAAAGAGUGCGUAAUAGCUCACUAGUCGAGUGACCCUGCGCCGAAAAUGUACCGGGGCUAAAACAUAUUACCGAAGCUGUGGAUACCUUUAUAGGUAUGGUAGGAGAGCGUUCUAUGUGCGAAGAAGGUGUACCGUGAGGAGUGCUGGAGCGCAUAGAAGUGAGAAUGCCGGUAUGAGUAGCGAAAGACAGGUGAGAAUCCUGUCCACCGUAAGACUAAGGUUUCCAGGGGAAGGCUCGUCCGCCCUGGGUUAGUCGGGACCUAAGGAGAGACCGAAAGGUGUAUCCGAUGGACAACAGGUUGAUAUUCCUGUACUAGAGUAUAUAGUGAUGGAGGGACGCAGUAGGCUAACUAAACCAGACGAUUGGAAGUGUCUGGCCAAGCAGUGAGGUGUGAUAUGAGUCAAAUGCUUAUAUCUAUAACAUUGAGCUGUGAUGGGGAGCGAAGUUUAGUAGCGAAGUUAGUGAUGUCACACUGCCGAGAAAAGCUUCUAGCGUUAAUUAUACUCUACCCGUACCGCAAACCGACACAGGUAGUCGAGGCGAGUAGCCUCAGGUGAGCGAGAGAACUCUCGUUAAGGAACUCGGCAAAAUGGCCCCGUAACUUCGGGAGAAGGGGCGCUGACUUAUGGUCAGCCGCAGUGAAUAGGCCCAAGCAACUGUUUAUCAAAAACACAGCUCUCUGCUAAAUCGUAAGAUGAUGUAUAGGGGGUGACGCCUGCCCGGUGCUGGAAGGUUAAGAGGAGUGCUUAGCAAUAGCGAAGGUAUGAAUUGAAGCCCCAGUAAACGGCGGCCGUAACUAUAACGGUCCUAAGGUAGCGAAAUUCCUUGUCGGGUAAGUUCCGACCCGCACGAAAGGCGUAAUGAUUUGGGCACUGUCUCAACGAGAGACUCGGUGAAAUUUUAGUACCUGUGAAGAUGCAGGUUACCCGCGACAGGACGGAAAGACCCCAUGGAGCUUUACUGCAGUUUGAUAUUGAGUAUCUGUACCACAUGUACAGGAUAGGUAGGAGCCUAUGACCUCGGGACGCCAGUUUCGAGUGAGGCGUUGUUGGGAUACUACCCUUGUGUUAUGGCUACUCUAACCCAGAUAGGUUAUCCCUAUCGGAGACAGUGUCUGACGGGCAGUUUGACUGGGGCGGUCGCCUCCUAAAAGGUAACGGAGGCGCCCAAAGGUUCCCUCAGAAUGGUUGGAAAUCAUUCGCAGAGUGUAAAGGUAUAAGGGAGCUUGACUGCGAGAGCUACAACUCGAGCAGGGACGAAAGUCGGGCUUAGUGAUCCGGUGGUUCCGCAUGGAAGGGCCAUCGCUCAACGGAUAAAAGCUACCCUGGGGAUAACAGGCUUAUCUCCCCCAAGAGUUCACAUCGACGGGGAGGUUUGGCACCUC